CAGCACUAGUCCUGGGACUCUGAAAUACUCCAGAUAAGCAUUCUUUGAAAAAAUUACACAGUGGUUCAAGCCUCGAAGUUUCUUAACAGCUUGAAACAGUUAAAACCACCCAUGCUGAUAACAUUUGUGAAUUCAGGACACUGUCUUUAGUACAAAGCUAAGACACAAACUUGUAGGAGGACUUUGAACAAUGAGAUGGCCAUGUGGAGGUACCUGUUUACGCACCCCAACGCAUGGUUUUUUGUUUGGGCCAAUCCGAUGCGCCCGCACAGAUCCUGGUGGUUUCAGAUGAAGUCACAUGUCAAACCUGCUGUCA
Long non-coding RNA from Artibeus jamaicensis (Jamaican fruit-eating bat), 316 nucleotides. RefSeq lists it as uncharacterized. The transcript has 3 exons. The record is from RefSeq and is a predicted model, not a curated record. Lineage: Eukaryota; Metazoa; Chordata; Mammalia; Chiroptera; Phyllostomidae.